RNAcentral lists this unclassified non-coding RNA (310 nucleotides) under uncultured Penicillium. Its description in RNAcentral is "sequence contains ITS1". The stretch from base 1 to 105 matches the Rfam family "5.8S ribosomal RNA", at positions 50 to 154 of the family's 154-position model. Lineage: Eukaryota; Fungi; Ascomycota; Eurotiomycetes; Eurotiales; Aspergillaceae. The record is from RNAcentral.
GAAAUGCGAUACGUAAUGUGAAUUGCAGAAUUCAGUGAAUCAUCGAGUCUUUGAACGCACAUUGCGCCCUCUGGUAUUCCGGAGGGCAUGCCUGUCCGAGCGUCAUUGCUGCCCUCAAGCACGGCUUGUGUGUUGGGCCCCGUCCUCCGACCCCGGGGGACGGGCCCGAAAGGCAGCGGCGGCACCGCGUCCGGUCCUCGAGCGUAUGGGGCUUCGUCACCCGCUCUGUAGGCCCGGCCGGCGCUAGCCGAUCAACCACACUUUUUUCCAGGUUGACCUCGGAUCAGGUAGGGAUACCCGCUGAACUUAA